RNAcentral lists this ribosomal RNA (465 nucleotides) under uncultured bacterium. Its description in RNAcentral is "partial 16S ribosomal RNA". It matches the Rfam family "Bacterial small subunit ribosomal RNA", at positions 28 to 507 of the family's 1533-position model. The record is from RNAcentral.
GACGAACGCUGGCGGCGUGCUUAACACAUGCAAGUCGUACGGUAAGGUCCUUUCGGGGGUACACGAGUGGCGAACGGGUGAGUAACACGUGAGUAACCUGCCCACAACUUUGGGAUAACGCUAGGAAACUGGUGCUAAUACUGGAUAUGUGCUCCUGCUGCAUGGUGGGGGUUGGAAAGCUCCGGCGGUUGUGGAUGGACUCGCGGCCUAUCAGCUUGUUGGUGGGGUAGUGGCCUACCAAGGCGGCGACGGGUAGCCGGCCUGAGAGGGUGACCGGCCACAUUGGGACUGAGAUACGGCCCAGACUCCUACGGGAGGCAGCAGUGGGGAAUAUUGCACAAUGGGCGCAAGCCUGAUGCAGCAACGCCGCGGGCGGGAUGACGGCCUUCGGGUUGUAAACCGCUUUCAGCAGGGACGAAGCUUUUUGUGACGGUACCUGCAGAAGAAGCACCGGCUAACUACGUG